RNAcentral lists this ribosomal RNA (297 nucleotides) under Ditylum brightwellii. RNAcentral's name for it is "partial Eukaryotic small subunit ribosomal RNA". The record is from RNAcentral. Lineage: Eukaryota; Bacillariophyta; Thalassiosirophyceae; Lithodesmiales; Lithodesmiaceae.
AUGCACGAAGGUUGGUGCUGUUAAAAAGCCCGUAGAGAAUACAUGUGAAUCAUCCGCAAGUCGUAUGAACUUCUUCUUUGGUGCAGUCGGCGCGGUUGUUGUCAUGAGUAGUCUUCUUCUCUAAGGCUGGUUGGCGCGUGGUGCAAUCUGACAUCAGCAGUCUGCUGGUGAGCGAAAGCUCGUAUUCAAGGAAUGACGGCUAUUUCUUUUGAUAAUCUACUCAAUGUCCUUGACUAUGUGAUGGUAUCACAUUUGCAUCCAAUUGUGUCAGUGUUACAUGGAAAUGUUUAAAGGAUA